UACGUAGGGCGCAAGCGUUAUCCGGAAUUAUUGGGCGUAAAGAGCUCGUAGGCGGUUUGUCGCGUCUGCCGUGAAAGUCCGGGGCUCAACUCCGGAUCUGCGGUGGGUACGGGCAGACUAGAGUGAUGUAGGGGAGACUGGAAUUCCUGGUGUAGCGGUGGAAUGCGCAGAUAUCAGGAGGAACACCGAUGGCGAAGGCAGGUCUCUGGGCCACUACUGACGCUGAGAAGCGAAAGCAUGGGGAGCGAACAGG
Molecule: ribosomal RNA, 253 nt
Filed under: uncultured bacterium
Lineage: Bacteria
Description: partial 16S ribosomal RNA
Rfam family: Bacterial small subunit ribosomal RNA
Source: RNAcentral